This 506-nucleotide ribosomal RNA is filed under the name uncultured bacterium. Its description in RNAcentral is "partial 16S ribosomal RNA". It matches the Rfam family "Bacterial small subunit ribosomal RNA", at positions 30 to 523 of the family's 1533-position model. The record is from RNAcentral.
AUUGAACGCUGGCGGCAGGCCUAACACAUGCAAGUCGAACGGCAGCGGGGGAUAGCUUGCUAUCCUGCCGGCGAGUGGCGGACGGGUGAGUAAUGCAUGGGGAGCUGCCCAGUCGAGGGGGAUAACAACUGGAAACGGUUGCUAAUACCGCAUACGCCCUAAGGGGGAAAGGUGGGGAACUUCGGUCCUACCGCGAUUGGAUGCGCCCAUGUGGGAUUAGCUAGUUGGUGAGGUAACGGCUCACCAAGGCGACGAUCUCUAGCUGGUCUGAGAGGAUGACCAGCCACACUGGAACUGAGACACGGUCCAGACUCCUACGGGAGGCAGCAGUGGGGAAUAUUGCACAAUGGGGGAAACCCUGAUGCAGCCAUGCCGCGUGUGUGAAGAAGGCCUUCGGGUUGUAAAGCACUUUCAGUCGGGAGGAAGGGGUGAUGGCUAAUAUCCAUCAUCAUUGACGUUACUGACAGAAGAAGCACCGGCUAACUCCGUGCCAGCAGCCGCGGUAA